Bombus terrestris (buff-tailed bumblebee) is the source of this 2755-nucleotide long non-coding RNA. RefSeq lists it as uncharacterized. NCBI's taxonomy places the organism in Eukaryota, Metazoa, Arthropoda, Insecta, Hymenoptera, Apidae. The record is from RefSeq and is a predicted model, not a curated record. The transcript has 2 exons.
UUUAAGUAGCGGUAUAUUUAAGAAGUCAUAAUUUUCUAUUAUAUGCUUCUAAUUUUUACUAAAAUUUAUAUGUGCGUUGCAAACGAUAAAUUAUUAAUAAUAAUCAUAUAACAUUAAUAAUAAUGCAUAAUAUUAAGUAAUUAUUUUAAGAACUUUCAAUAAUGUUCAAAUGUAGUUUUAUGCAAAUUUAAUUAUUCUAUGAAUAUAUCAUGCAUUCGAAACUAAUUAUAAUAAUAUUUAAACUUAAUAGGAAUUCUUAUGUAUUAGAUCUACUCAAUAUAAAAAAAUCGAAACUGCUCUAACUCAACUAACUAAUCAUACUUUUAAAUGAAAUCUAAUCGCUAUUACUCAUUAUCAUAAUAAAACAUAGUAAGUUUUCUUCAUCUUGAAACAAUUUUAAGUAAUCUUUUAAUAAUAACUUACUUCUCACAUACAGAGACGUAAUACUAUGAAAAGAAUAUUUUAAAGAAUUAAACUUUGACGAUAUAUUAUGUACACCAUAUAUAUUUCUUUGAUACUUUUACGUAUAAGCUGGUAUCUACCUAGAAUUUCAUCUCACUUUUCUUUAGUAUCGCAGUUAAUCUUUUUAACUGAUAAUAAUUAUCAAUUACUAUUUUCUAUCAUUUAGAUUUAAACAUUAGAUUCAACUUGAAUCAAACAUAUUAUAAACUCUUAUAAUCCAAGUUACAGUACCACGUCAAAAUAAUUUACCUAUAAUUCUCAAUGAGAAUUGAUAACAAAUAAUCUAUCAAAUAAAAAAAAAAAAAUUCCUAUCUGAGAAUGUAAGAAAAUGUGAAUUUCGAACAUCUAGGAUGGCUGCCUGGCCUUCGUCACCCUGUGGAUAGAGAAAGCGUCAACACUUAAGGGUGUUAUAAAUUAAGUCCUCACCCGCUUAGUGCGUGUGAGCCAACGGGCUCCGACGUCUUAUAAUUGCGACGUCUGAAAAUGCGAAGCUUCGAACGGUCGCAGCGAUUACUUCGAUUCCUUUAUCUCUGGUUCUGGGAAGAGAUAGUAAAAUCACUUGAGAAUGUCGUAAACUAUGCCCUCUCUUUUACUAGCGUAUAAAAUUUCAAACCUUUUCGGACAGAUACAGACCAGAUAUCAGGAUGCGUUUAUAAUAUGCUUAUUAUAUAUAAGGUUUACGAAAUGACCGUGCUUUACAGAGUACUUUAUGGAUUUCAAUAAAAACAAGCUACUCUUGAAGUAAAACAGAUGUUCUUUAUUUUUAGUAGCGCUGACCUGAAAUACAGAAAAGGAUACUUUCUCUGUUGUCUGUUCUUUAUAGAACGUCGUAAAAGUCAAUAGAUGCAAGACUAUUUAUAUUAUUAAAGAAUUUCGGUUUUAUCUCUAUGAAAGCAAAUAAUUAACUUGAAGAAGUUAGCUACGUAACUAAAUUGAAGAAAUUUGGAACUUUUUAUGGGUCAGCAAUUAGCAACAUUGUAUUUCCUAAAACAACUUGAAGAAGCGUUCAGACAAUCGAUAUUAUUGUUUAAGAUUGCCAACAUUACUCUAGACCAGCGAUUCUUAACUUGUGGUCCAGGAAUCCGCGAGGGCCACAAAGUCCUCACACAUAUAGGUUAUUAUUGUAUGUGUUAUCCGAAUAAAAAAUAUUUAGUACAUAUAUAUAUUUAUUUAUUUAUAAUGAAUCUCUUCUCUCAAAAAUUUAAAGAUAUUGAAUAAAAAAACAAGUUAUGUAAUUUUUAAAUGGGAAAAGAAAUCGUGAAACAUAGUACAAAAUAUCUAGGUAGACCACAUAGGAAUUCAUCUGAAUCUCCAGGUCACCGAUUUCCUUGACAAUAGUAUACAAAUACGAAGGUACAAGACUUUUGAGACAAAAGGCACUAAACUCACCAUCGUAAUUUAAAAAAAUAUUCGACGACUAAAAACACCCAAGGGCCAAACAUAUAUUUAAUUAAAAAGUAUAGAAGAACAUACUGCGUAUAAUUUCUUCGUUUUACUCAUAAAAGAAAUAUUUCAGGUGAAGAGAGUUCGUGAGACACACUGUAUGUAAUAAGCAUUUCUUAUGACCACUAUACGUACUAUCAGUUAUUACGGCAUUAUAUUCUCAUUAUUAGACUACAAUUUUUAUACAAAUUAGUAUUUUUACAAAUCUAAUUGUAAACAAGUUGUAAAACAAGUGGAAUCUAAGAGGAAAUUUAUUUCAUUCACUGAAUAUUGUAAUAAAUACUAUACUUUGGAUAUUUUUGUACAUUAUACGCAUUUUUUUAAAUGUUACAUUUUCUAUAAAUGCGGAAAAAUCUACAGUUUACUAAUUAUUUUUAUUUAUAUUUCAAUAAUUCGUACGAAUUUUACAGAUAUAAAUAUAAGUUCCCGUCUUUUUUAUGUUCUUACUUACUUAUUACACUUAAUUAACAAAAUCACUGAUCACACUUUGUGUAAUUUUUAUAAAAAUAAUUGAAAUUUAGAAAUAUAUAAUUUAGAAAAUACUUACUGCUAUUUGAUUAAUAUCAACACAUAAUCCCACAUAUUGAUGUUAUCAUUAAUUGUUAAUAUUAAAACAUAUGUGCCAAAAUAACGUGGAUAAUAAAAUAAUUUUACUCAAAACAAAUGUUCAUAUUUAUAUAUUUUAUUUAUUCAUAACUUAUACAAUUUCUGACAAAGAAUGAUUUAUAAAAUAAGUUAUCCCGAUAGUUUUAAAUUUAUAUAAUUUGCAUACAAAGUAUAGGUUAAUAAAAACGCACAUUUUUUUAAAUUGUGUUAUUAAACUAUUUGAUACUUUAUACCAGUUUAUUAC